UACGUAGGGUGCAAGCGUUGGCCGGAAUUAUUGGGCGUAAAGAGCUCGUAGGCGGUUUGUCGCGUCUGCUGUGAAAACUCGGGGCUUAACCCCGGGCCUGCAGUGGGUACGGGCAGACUAGAGUGCGGUAGGGGAGACUGGAAUUCCUGGUGUAGCGGUGAAAUGCGCAGAUAUCAGGAGGAACACCGGUGGCGAAGGCGGGUCUCUGGGCCGUAACUGACGCUGAGGAGCGAAAGCGUGGGGAGCGAACAGG
RNAcentral lists this ribosomal RNA (253 nucleotides) under uncultured bacterium. Its description in RNAcentral is "partial 16S ribosomal RNA". It matches the Rfam family "Bacterial small subunit ribosomal RNA", at positions 524 to 776 of the family's 1533-position model. The record is from RNAcentral.